CAACCCUCAAGCCUUUUUCUUUUGCUUGCUCUGGAAAAAUUCGGCUUGGUUCUGGGGCGUAUCUACAAAGUCUCCUUGGCCUUAAGUGGCCUAUCAAGGUGCUGUAGGCCCUGAAAAUUAGUGGCGGGCUCGCCGAGACCCCGAGCGCAGUAAUUUCUCUCGCUUACGGGCCGUCGCGGAGGGUUUUCCAGCCGUAAAACACCCCAAAAUACGUACUA
Molecule: unclassified non-coding RNA, 218 nt
Filed under: uncultured Sordariomycetes
Lineage: Eukaryota; Fungi; Ascomycota; Sordariomycetes
Description: sequence contains ITS2
Source: RNAcentral